RNAcentral lists this long non-coding RNA (330 nucleotides) under Capra hircus (goat). Its description in RNAcentral is "lncRNA (ENSCHIG00000008316.1)". Lineage: Eukaryota; Metazoa; Chordata; Mammalia; Artiodactyla; Bovidae. The record is from RNAcentral.
AUGUCCACUGCUGACAGUUCUCUGUUUAUUGUAUUCUCAUAGACCCAGGGUGAUAGAGGAGCUGCCAGCUUGAAUGUUGCCCGUCACUGUAUCAGAGUGAAAAAAAUUUUUGGAGAGUUUCACUUUAGUAAUUAAAUGCUGCAGCCUGGAAGCGACACAUCCCAUUUCUGCUACAACCUGUUGGCUCCAUGCAAGUAUAAGGGAACCAAAGCCAUAGAAUCUUAUCAUAUACUCAUAAGUGGAGAGAAACAGAAAGAGAGAAGCUACAAACAGAGAAACUAUAAGGACCAACAUGUGGAAAAGCCUCAUGGCAUCCUGCUGGGCCUCUAG